RNAcentral lists this long non-coding RNA (794 nucleotides) under Monodelphis domestica (gray short-tailed opossum). Its description in RNAcentral is "lncRNA (ENSMODG00000042730.1)". The record is from RNAcentral. Lineage: Eukaryota; Metazoa; Chordata; Mammalia; Didelphimorphia; Didelphidae.
AGGAGGCGCUGGGGUGAUGCUCAAGCCCUCCUGCCCCACUCCAGUGGGGCCGGCAGGGAGGGCGGAUCAGUGCUUUGUCUUUGCCUUUCUACCCUGGAGGAGAGAUCUUGGGGAGAACAGAAGAAAGGACAGAGAGGAGGAGGCUGGAGGCCCAGAUCGGCGCCUGAGUCAUUGCUCCCUUCUGUUAAGGCAGCACUUUCAAGGCGAAGGUCUCAGAUCCUAUCUGAAGGGCUCACGCUUGUCUCUUUUUUUACCCCAAAGAGAAGCACGUCACAGAAAGUCACCCUGGCGGUGUCUACGGCUAAGAGCUGGCUCCCGUGGCUGAGUGACUCAGAACCGGAGGCCGGGCGACAGCCCCUGAGACUCGGUGACCAGCACAGGGUGAAGCGGCUUCUCUCUCUGACUGUCGGACGCCCCCGGGCUUGGGAUGGAGAGAAAUGGCAGACUCACAGCCUCUCAUUUCUGGAGGGUUCUCCGGAGGCCAUCGAAUCCCCUGGACAGGACGUCCCCUUCACUUCAUGCCAGCCCCGAGAGCUCACUGGUCACUUCCACGCCGUGCCCACUUCAUUAAUUAAAGGAUUUUGUACUCAGAAUACAGUACAUCAAAGAUUUGUGAUUUCUCGGCACAGGGAGCUGGAAACUUACCUUUAAUUUGGCAGGAUUGAGUACCCAGCCCAGAAGACUGUUCCAGUUCCCAAUGCCAUGGAAUAAGAAAAGUGAUUUUUUGUCUCUUUCUCUGGGGAUAAGAAUAUGAGCACCUCUACACUGGAGUGAUUGAAAGCUUCCUGUCUCCU